GGUCCUUUCUUUCUGUCCUUCAUCCAGUGGCAGGUUUAAAACUCUUUGAUGGUUUAGCUCUAUAAUAUUUAAAGUUCUAUUUCAAAUCCUUCGAACUUAGGGUUUUAGGAAAUAGCUAGCUGCGUGGGAAGGCAAGAGAAGAGUCUAUUAAAAUCUACAAUCCUCUUAGUGACCCAUUCACUGGGGCUCUCAGCAAAUCUGUUUGAGUUUUUCCCUCUACUGAAAACAAAGGAGAAAGCAAAUGGGAAACAGAAACCCUACCAAGACAAAUCUAAGAGGGGCCACUUCGAAAUAAACCUUAUUAAGAGAAAAUAUUUCAGUAAGUUGUGUUCAACUCUUUUGCAACCCCGUGGACUGUAGCUCAUCAGGCUCCUUCUGUCCCUGGGAUUUCACAGGCAAGAAUGUUGCCAUUUCCUUCUCCAGAGCAGCUUCCUGACCCAGGGAUCAAACCUGCAUCUCCAGCCCCCGCAGGUGGGUUCCUUACCACUACCACGACAGAUGAUGAGAUGGUUGAAUGGCAUCACUAACUCGAUGGACAUGAGUUUGAGUAGGCUCCAGGAGUUGGUGAUGGACAGGGAAGCCUGGUGUGCUGCAGUCUAUGGAAAGAGUCUCUCUAUGCAAAGAGUCAGAUAGGGCUGAGUGACUGAACUGAACUGAACUCUACAGUUCUUUUAGACACUUUAACAGAGGACAUGCAAAGAGAAAAAAAGUUGUGACUGUUGUAUGGAAUGCUUUAAAUGAAAUCAGAAGUUGAUUUAAAAUCUGAAUUAGCAAAAGCAAUAUUGACAUUGAUGGCAAAGCAAAAAUCAGAACAAGGAGAAAAGAUAUUUUCUUCCUAAAAAAAAGAAAACCAGCUGAUAUGGAACAGCAUAUACUCUAAUGUCCAAUUUGAAGAUGCUUUUAGAACCAGUCUUAAGAAUUUAAUCAAGGAAAAUGAAAAAUUAAGGUUUCUAUGUCUGAAAUAUUUUUAAUGAAACAAAGAAUAAAACUAUCAAGGAACUAAUGCUUUGUGUAUUUUAAAAUUUCAUUUUAAGAACAAUAACUUAAAGGAGGUGGGUGAUAUUAUCAAAAUGCAGUCCCCUAACAAGACCAACCAGGGGCUUCCAAGAUGGCAAUGGUAAAGACUCUGCCUGCCGGUGUAGGAGACACAGGAGAUGCAGCUUCAGUCCAUGGGUUGGGAAGAUAACCUGGAGAAGAAAAUGGCAACCCACUCUAGUAUUCUUGCGUGGAAAAUCCCAUGGACAUAGGAACCUUGUGGGCUACAGUCCAUGGGGUUGCAAAGAGUUGAACACAGCUCAGUGACUGAGCAUACAC
This is a long non-coding RNA of Bos taurus (domestic cattle), 1314 nucleotides long. The record is from Ensembl. NCBI's taxonomy places the organism in Eukaryota, Metazoa, Chordata, Mammalia, Artiodactyla, Bovidae.